Long non-coding RNA from Panicum hallii, 377 nucleotides. RefSeq lists it as uncharacterized. The transcript has 4 exons. Lineage: Eukaryota; Viridiplantae; Streptophyta; Magnoliopsida; Poales; Poaceae. The record is from RefSeq and is a predicted model, not a curated record.
UCGUGGCCCCGCGGCCGCCCCUUUGCCCCCGCCACUCGCGCGGCUCCCCGCCGCCCCGCGCGGCUGUGCCCCUCUGCCCCGCGGCCCUCCGCCACGCCGCAGCCCAUCGGCGCCGGCCCCGCGGGCCCCCGCCGCUGAGAAGAAACUGCCAUCUAUUUCAGUGGAUGAAACAUCUGUGCAAAAGAUUCAAGCGUUGACUCCAAAUAUUGGAGUUGUUUACAGUGGGAUGGGUCCAUAUUUCUGCGUUCUUGUGAGGAAAAGCCGGAAGCAAGCCCAGCAGUAUUACCGAUUGUAUAAGGAGCAACACCAAAGUCAGCAUUGGAACUGAUGAACGUGAAGGAUCUUACACUAGCCCAUGUCAAGAGCCACCUGCAGGC